AUACGUAGGGGGCGAGCGUUAUCCGGAUUUAUUGGGCGUAAAGCGUGUGUAGGCGGUUUGUUAAGUUUAAGAUUAAAGCCCGAGGCUUAACCUCGGUUCGUCUUAAAAACUGGCAGACUUGAGUGCAGUAGAGGCAAGUGGAAUUUCUAGUGUAGCGGUUAAAUGCGUAGAUAUUAGAAGGAACACCAGUGGCGAAGGCGGCUUGCUGGGCUGUGACUGACGCUGAGACACGAAAGCGUGGGGAGAAAAUAGGAUAAUAUACCCUAGUAGGCCACGCCGUAAACGAUGAGUACUAAGUGUCGGGCAACCGGUGCUGAAGUUAACACAUUAAGUACUCCGCCUGAGUAGUACGGUCGCAAGGCUGAAACUCAAAUGAAUUGGCGGGG
Molecule: ribosomal RNA, 386 nt
Filed under: uncultured bacterium
Lineage: Bacteria
Description: partial 16S ribosomal RNA
Rfam family: Bacterial small subunit ribosomal RNA
Source: RNAcentral